RNAcentral lists this ribosomal RNA (555 nucleotides) under Staphylococcus aureus. Its description in RNAcentral is "partial 23S ribosomal RNA". It matches the Rfam family "Bacterial large subunit ribosomal RNA", at positions 688 to 1246 of the family's 2925-position model. The record is from RNAcentral. Lineage: Bacteria; Bacillati; Bacillota; Bacilli; Caryophanales; Staphylococcaceae.
UAGGGCGUUUAGUAUUUGGUCGUAGACCCGAAACCAGGUGAUCUACCCUUGGUCAGGUUGAAGUUCAGGUAACACUGAAUGGAGGACCGAACCGACUUACGUUGAAAAGUGAGCGGAUGAACUGAGGGUAGCGGAGAAAUUCCAAUCGAACCUGGAGAUAGCUGGUUCUCUCCGAAAUAGCUUUAGGGCUAGCCUCAAGUGAUGAUUAUUGGAGGUAGAGCACUGUUUGGACGAGGGGCCCCUCUCGGGUUACCGAAUUCAGACAAACUCCGAAUGCCAAUUAAUUUAACUUGGGAGUCAGAACAUGGGUGAUAAGGUCCGUGUUCGAAAGGGAAACAGCCCAGACCACCAGCUAAGGUCCCAAAAUAUAUGUUAAGUGGAAAAGGAUGUGGCGUUGCCCAGACAACUAGGAUGUUGGCUUAGAAGCAGCCAUCAUUUAAAGAGUGCGUAAUAGCUCACUAGUCGAGUGACACUGCGCCGAAAAUGUACCGGGGCUAAACAUAUUACCGAAGCUGUGGAUUGUCCUUUGGACAAUGGUAGGAGAGCGUUCUAAGG